AGACGUAGGGGGCGAGCGUUGUCCGGAAUUACUGGGCGUAAAGGGCGUGUAGGCGGCCUUUCUAGUCGGCUGUGAAAUUCCUCGGCUUAACCGAGGGCGUGCAGUCGAAACUGGAGGGCUUGAGUGCAGGAGAGGGUGGUGGAAUUCCCGGUGGAGCGGUGACAUGCGUAGAUAUCGGGAGGAACACCGGUGGCGAAGGCGACCACCUGGUCUGCUACUGACGCUGAGGCGCGAAAGCCGGGGGAGCAAACAGGAUUAGAUACCCUGGUAGUCCCGGCCGUAAACUCUGGGUACUAGGUGUAGGGGGCUUCGAUGCCCUCUGUGCCGCAGUUAACGCAUUAAGUACCCCGCCUGGGGAGUACGAUCGCAAGGUUGAA
Molecule: ribosomal RNA, 377 nt
Filed under: uncultured bacterium
Lineage: Bacteria
Description: bacterial SSU rRNA
Rfam family: Bacterial small subunit ribosomal RNA
Source: RNAcentral